GUAAACAGCCGGGGCCGGCUGCGGGCACCUGCAAUCCCCGACCCCCGACGCCCUCCCCGAGACCCUGGAGACGCGGCUCCGCCCCCACCGGUAAUUGGGAGAUUUUCAAGGCCGAUGUCCCCAAAGCCCAGCUCAGCUGGAGAGAUCAGCCCUGCGGUCCUGCCGCGCACUCCACCGCCAGCCUCUCGGGAGUCAAGGGAUCCGCCUUCAGGGUGAAUUGGGGUUCCACCAUGUAACCUUCAUGGAGCUUUCGUUAGCCUUGUUUGGGAUAUAAAGGGAUAAGUGUCCCCUGAUUUUAGAGAAAGAUUAAGAGCCAGUGAACAGGAUUUCCCAGCCAGGGACGUGGAGCAGGGCACCUGCAGAUGGUCCACGUGCUCGUGGCUAAUGGCAGCCCGCCUCCGGGAGGGGCCUGCGCACCUUUCCCCCAGGAGGAGGGAAGGACCCAAUCAUUAUCCAGAGUCAACAGGCCUUUGCACAGGCUGUUCCUACUGCCUGGAUGCUCGUCCCUUUGGCUCACUCCCUCACUUCCUGCCCAAAUGUCAUCUCCAUGAGAUCGCCCUGGAAACCCAGGACUACCUUCCCACCUUCCACACUCCCUCACCCUCUUGCUAUAAUUUUCUCUG
RNAcentral lists this non-coding RNA (623 nucleotides) under Pongo abelii (Sumatran orangutan). Lineage: Eukaryota; Metazoa; Chordata; Mammalia; Primates; Hominidae. The record is from RNAcentral.